GGACGAACGCUGGCGGCGUGCCUAAUACAUGCAAGUAGAACGCUGAAGACUUUAGCUUGCUAAAGUGGAAGAGUUGCGAACGGGUGAGUAACGCGUAGGUAACCUGCCUACUAGCGGGGGAUAACUAUUGGAAACGAUAGCUAAUACCGCAUAACAGCAUUUAACACAUGUUAGAUGCUUGAAAGGAGCAAUUGCUUCACUAGUAGAUGGACCUGCGUUGUAUUAGCUAGUUGGUGAGGUAACGGCUCACCAAGGCGACGAUACAUAGCCGACCUGAGAGGGUGAUCGGCCACACUGGGACUGAGACACGGCCCAGACUCCUACGGGAGGCAGCAGUAGGGAAUCUUCGGCAAUGGGGGCAACCCUGACCGAGCAACGCCGCGUGAGUGAAAGAAGGUUUUCGGAUCGUAAAGCUCUGUUGUAAGAGAAGAACGUGUGUGAGAGUGGAAAGUUCACACAGUGACGGUAACUUACCAGAAAGGGACGGCUAACUACGUGCCAGCCGCAGC
Molecule: ribosomal RNA, 509 nt
Filed under: uncultured bacterium
Lineage: Bacteria
Description: bacterial SSU rRNA
Rfam family: Bacterial small subunit ribosomal RNA
Source: RNAcentral